GAAAAAUACUUAGCAGUCAGUCCGAGUCCGUACUCACAUCAAGAAAAACCAAAAUUGGCUAGCAGGGACAUUAUCAGUCCGAGAAAUGAGACUCCAGUGAAACAGAAACACAUCAUGUAUAACACGCCGUCCACGAGUGCUGCUGCAAGGAUCAAAUCAUCGCCAAUGGCAGAGUCGGUCAUGGAGGAAAUAGCGGAUGAGAGCAGCAUACACACCGAUCUUGUAGCUUACAUGUUGAUCACGCACCCCGAUUUCAUCCAGGAUGCAUUCCCUCCACGAGUACUGCUGCAAGGAUCAAACCUCGGCGAUGUCAUAGGCUGUCAAGAAGCAAAUAACGGAUGAAAGAACUGUAUUCAUCGAUCAUGUAGCAGACAUGUUUUUCAUGCAACCGGAUGACAAACAUUUUAGCUGCUGGAACUCCGUCAAUUAUUAUGCAGAAGCAGGAGAGUCCAGUCAAACAGAAACACAUCAUAAAUGACAUGCCGUCUACGAGUGCUGCUGCAAGGAUAAUGAAAUUGGCAAUGGCAGAGGCAGUCAAGGAGGAAAUAGCGGAUUAGAGUACUGUACGUUGUCAUGCAACCGGAUUUCAUCCUGGAUGACAUGCCAAACACGAGUUCGGAGAUCGCAGACCCGGUAGAGGAGGAAUUAACGGAUAAGAGUACUAUGUAGUAAUAUACUUUCUUUUAUAAUGUGAACAUAACCAUCCACAACAUGCCAUCCACGAGUGCUGCUGCAAGGAUCAAUCAUCGGCAAUGUAGCCGGCCGUCAAGGAGGAAACAUCGGAGUAUAGUACUAUUUAGUUCAAUUCUGAAGCUAACAUGUUUCCCAUGCAAUCGGAUUUCAUCCUGGAUCCAUCCUCGUGUGCUGGUGCAAGGCUAAAUCCUAGGCGAUCAAAUGGCCGGAAGCAUAAGAGUCCUUUGAAACAUAACCACAUCCUGAAUGACAUGCCAUCCACGAGGGCUGCUGCAAGGAUCAACACUUCGGCGAUGGCAUAAGCGGUCAAGAAAAUAAUGGAUGAGAGUACUAUACACAUCGAUCCUGUAGCUUACAUGUUGGUCAUGUAAUCGAGUUUCAUCCUGGAUGACAUGCCAUCCACGAGUGCUGCUUCAAGGAUAAAAACAUCGGCGAUGGCAGAGCCGGUAAGGGAGGGAACCACGGAUGAGAGUACUUUAAAAUAAUAUACUUUUAAAAUGUAGGAAACAGAAGAUUUCUGUGAAACAGAAGCACAUCCUGAUGACUGCCAUCCACGGCUGCUGCUGCAAGGAUCAAAACAUCGGCGAUGGCAGAGCCAGUCAAAAAGCAAAUAUUAAGUGAAGAAAGUAUUGUAUACAUCGAUCCUGUAGCUAACAUGUUUUUCAUGCAACCGGAUGACGAACAUGUUAGCUUCAGGAUCGAUGUGUAUAGCACUCUCCUCCGUUGUUUCCUCCUUUACCACCUCUGCCAUCCUUGAUGCUUUGAUCCUUGCGGCAGCACUCGUAGAUGGGAAGUCAUCAGGAUGUGGUCCUGCUUAUCAGGACUCUCCUGUUUCAUACAUUAUAAAUAAGAGUAUCUUACUAGACAAACAGACAAUCUGUGCAAAAAGAGUACUUUCUGGAGAAUUUCAUAACAUAAAGAGAUAAUUUCGGUGACAGGGUCUCUUCUGGAUGUCAUGUGGGUGCGAGAGGGAAAGCUUUAAAAACACAACGCUUUUUGCUCUCUGUUUCCGCUUAUCAACGCUGUUAACAAAUAAUAACAAACAUUCGUUAAAA
Long non-coding RNA from Drosophila subpulchrella, 1748 nucleotides. RefSeq lists it as uncharacterized. The transcript is spliced from 4 exons. Lineage: Eukaryota; Metazoa; Arthropoda; Insecta; Diptera; Drosophilidae. The record is from RefSeq and is a predicted model, not a curated record.